UUUCUCCAUCCUAGUAAUCAAAUUUGAGCAAAAUCAAAUGGGGCUUUCUAUGAAAGUACCUUUUGUUGAUCUGAACGAGCUGGUAAUUUACAAAAUACCCUUCCUUUGUGAGGAAGGCUAAAGAAAAAAAGAAUCAGUAGCUUUUAAAGCUGGGCCUUAGUGGGACUCUAAAUGCAAUGAAAGCAGUCUGUGUUGAGAGACUGAAAUGCAUUUCAAAGCCAGGCCUGAUUCGGGGUACAAGGAAGAACAGACCUAUGUGCAUUUUGUAGGAAGAAAACUGUGAAUGGAAAAAGGAGAAGGGGAGAGAAACGGGGGAAAUCUGGAUAAUACAUUAAAGUAACCAUAAUUUUGGAGAUGCAUUCAUCUUAUUGAAAAUAUGUACGUAACCAGUGAUACCGAAGUCGGAUAUUUGCUCAAUCAGGAUGCUCAACAAUUUGAGCCUUUAAAGUUUGGAGCUGCAUGGGUUUGUGGAGAAAGUCGGCUCGUGAUAUUUCCUCAUGGUUGUGAUUCCUCUUCACUCUUUUGAAUUUGGAAGGAUGGCAUACACAUCUGAAAAAUACCACUACUUCCUUCAUUGGACUGCAAGGUAUUUCUGUUUGGAAAAGUAAUGGAGUCCAGUCAACUUCAUUGAUCGCCAAGGACUGUCAAAAUUAUAAAACUUGCUGUGGAGCUCUGACAUGCCAGAAGCCGCUAGAAAAAGAAGUUUGACAUUCAGAAACUUAUCAAGAGGUUCUACUCUUUGGAUAGAGACCAAAAUCAUACUUUGAAAAAAUGAGAAGAGAUGGAAGCCAAGGAAGGGUGUGUGGAAUCAAGUAGCAGUUCUCAAAACAGCAUAUAUCAAGACCUCAGCACAUAUCAAGACCUCAGCACAUAUCAAGACAGUGGCACAAAAGCAUCGUAGUGUUGUCAUUCACCACUAUGCAGGAGGGAAAGCCAAUUUCAUUUCAGAAUGUCCUCAAUUAAUCUGUAGAAAUUAUUAAUUUUAUUAAAUCCCAACCCUUGA
Molecule: long non-coding RNA, 1003 nt
Filed under: Homo sapiens (human)
Lineage: Eukaryota; Metazoa; Chordata; Mammalia; Primates; Hominidae
Description: PREDICTED lncRNA (TCONS_00188998)
Source: RNAcentral